This 228-nucleotide unclassified non-coding RNA is filed under the name uncultured fungus. RNAcentral describes it as "sequence contains ITS1". Lineage: Eukaryota; Fungi. The record is from RNAcentral.
GUAUUUGUUUUAGACCGCCCCACGACCGCGAGGUCGAACGACGAUCGUAAUACAUUCUAGACAUACGAUGUGUGUGACGAUUGAAACAUAGAUCCUCUUUCGAGGACCUACAAUGUGUGCACAGGUGUGAGAGUAAGAGAAAGGUGGACGUGCACGGCCGAAGCCAGCGACAGUCCGCCUCGCCCUCGAAGUUCGAUAAUGAUCCUUCCGCAGGUUCACCUACGGAAA